GACGAACGCUGGCGGCGUGCCUAAUACAUGCAAGUAGAACGCACAGUUUAUACCGUGGCUUGCUACACCAUAGACUGUGAGUUGCGAACGGGUGAGUAACGCGUAGGUAACCUGCCUGGUAGCGGGGGAUAACUAUUGGAAACGAUAGCUAAUACCGCAUAAUAUUAAUUAUUGCAUGAUAAUUAAUUGAAAGGUGCAAUUGCACCACUACCAGAUGGACCUGCGUUGUAUUAGCUAGUAGGUGAGGUAACGGCUCACCUAGGCGACGAUACAUAGCCGACCUGAGAGGGUGAUCGGCCACACUGGGACUGAGACACGGCCCAGACUCCUACGGGAGGCAGCAGUAGGGAAUCUUCGGCAAUGGACGAAAGUCUGACCGAGCAACGCCGCGUGAGUGAAGAAGGUUUUCGGAUCGUAAGGCUCUGUUGUAAGAGAAGAACGGGUGUGAGAGUGGAAAGUUCACACUGUGACGGUAUCUUACCAGAAAGGGACGGCUAACUACGUG
Molecule: ribosomal RNA, 505 nt
Filed under: uncultured bacterium
Lineage: Bacteria
Description: partial 16S ribosomal RNA
Rfam family: Bacterial small subunit ribosomal RNA
Source: RNAcentral